GUAGCUAAUACCGCAUAACGUCGCAAGACCAAAGAGGGGGACCUUCGGGCCUCUUGCCAUCGGAUGUGCCCAGAUGGGAUUAGCUUGUUGGUGGGGUAACGGCUCACCAAGGCGACGAUCCCUAGCUGGUCUGAGAGGAUGACCAGCCACACUGGAACUGAGACACGGUCCAGACUCCUACGGGAGGCAGCAGUGGGGAAUAUUGCACAAUGGGCGCAAGCCUGAUGCAGCCAUGCCGCGUGUAUGAAGAAGGCCUUCGGGUUGUAAAGUACUUUCAGCGGGGAGGAAGGGAGUAAAGUUAAUACCUUUGCUCAUUGACGUUACCCGCAGAAGAAGCACCGGCUAACUCCGUGCCAGCAGCCGCGGUAAUACGGAGGGUGCAAGCGUUAAUCGGAAUUACUGGGCGUAAAGCGCACGCAGGCGGUUUGUUAAGUCAGAUGUGAAAUCCCCGGGCUCAACCUGGGAACUGCAUCUGAUACUGGCAAGCUUGAGUCUCGUAGAGGGGGGUAGAAUUCCAGGUGUAGCGGUGAAAUGCGUAGAGAUCUGGAGGAAUACCGGUGGCGAAGGCGGCCCCCUGGACGAAGACUGACGCUCAGGUGCGAAAGCGUGGGGAGCAAACAGGAUUAGAUACCCUGGUAGUCCACGCCGUAAACGAUGUCGACUUGGAGGUUGUGCCCUUGAGGCGUGGCUUCCGGAGCUAACGCGUUAAGUCGACCGCCUGGGGAGUACGGCCGCAAGGUUAAAACUCAAAUGAAUUGACGGGGGCCCGCACAAGCGGUGGAGCAUGUGGUUUAAUUCGAUGCAACGCGAAGAACCUUACCUGGUCUUGACAUCCACGGAAGUUUUCAGAGAUGAGAAUGUGCCUUCGGGAACCGUGAGACAGGUGCUGCAUGGCUGUCGUCAGCUCGUGUUGUGAAAUGUUGGGUUAAGUCCCGCAACGAGCGCAACCCUUAUCCUUUGUUGCCAGCGGUCCGGCCGGGAACUCAAAGGAGACUGCCAGUGAUAAACUGGAGGAAGGUGGGGAUGACGUCAAGUCAUCAUGGCCCUUACGACCAGGGCUACACACGUGCUACAAUGGCGCAUACAAAGAGAAGCGACCUCGCGAGAGCAAGCGGACCUCAUAAAGUGCGUCGUAGUCCGGAUUGGAGUCUGCAACUCGACUCCAUGAAGUCGGAAUCGCUAGUAAUCGUGGAUCAGAAUGCCACGGUGAAUACGUUCCCGGGCCUUGUACACACCGCCCGUCACACCAUGGGAGUGGGUUGCAAAAGAAGUAGGUAGCUUAACCUUCGGGAGGGCGCUUACCACUUUGUGAUUCAUGACUGGGGUGAAGUCGUAACAAGGUAACCGUAGGGGAACCUGCGGUUGGAUCACCUCCUUACCUUAAAGAAGC
RNAcentral lists this ribosomal RNA (1390 nucleotides) under Escherichia coli. RNAcentral describes it as "bacterial SSU rRNA". It matches the Rfam family "Bacterial small subunit ribosomal RNA", at positions 159 to 1533 of the family's 1533-position model. Lineage: Bacteria; Pseudomonadati; Pseudomonadota; Gammaproteobacteria; Enterobacterales; Enterobacteriaceae. The record is from RNAcentral.